RNAcentral lists this unclassified non-coding RNA (349 nucleotides) under Dodonaea viscosa. RNAcentral describes it as "partial external transcribed spacer". The record is from RNAcentral. Lineage: Eukaryota; Viridiplantae; Streptophyta; Magnoliopsida; Sapindales; Sapindaceae.
CUGUGUUGCUUACCAGUUCUAUGGUAUUCGGUGUUUUUGAUGCCUACAUUCGCCUGAUGCCUGUUAUGGUGUUGGGUGGACAAUAGGUUGGCCCCAUGCUCCUAGCAUGCCCUGCAACAUUGUUUGGCUGCCUAGGUGCAUGGGGUCAUGCCCGUUCUUUCGGAUGCUGACCGUUACGUGUGUUGGCGAGGGGUCUUGGCCCAUACUCGUCUGCUUUACACGCACUUGUCCCUUAACACGAACGACCGCCUCACCUGUUUUGGCUCAAGGGGCUACAGCUCUUUGAGGCUCCAUGCAGGUGUUGGUGUCGUGAAGGAAUGCUACCUGGUUGAUCCUGCCAGUAGUCAUA